UACAGAGGUCUCAAGCGUUGUUCGGAUUCAUUGGGCGUAAAGGGUGCGUAGGCGGCGGGGUAAGUCGGAUGUGAAAUCCCGGGGCUCAACCCCGGAACUGCAUUCGAUACUGCCUUGCUAGAGUACUGGAGAGGAGACUGGAAUUUACGGUGUAGCAGUGAAAUGCGUAGAUAUCGGGAGGAACACCGGUGGCGAAGGCGGGUCUCUGGGCAACUCCUGACGCUGAGGCGCGAAAGCGUGGGGAGCAAACGGG
Molecule: ribosomal RNA, 253 nt
Filed under: uncultured bacterium
Lineage: Bacteria
Description: partial 16S ribosomal RNA
Rfam family: Bacterial small subunit ribosomal RNA
Source: RNAcentral